RNAcentral lists this ribosomal RNA (468 nucleotides) under uncultured bacterium. RNAcentral describes it as "partial 16S ribosomal RNA". It matches the Rfam family "Bacterial small subunit ribosomal RNA", at positions 28 to 507 of the family's 1533-position model. The record is from RNAcentral.
GACGAACGCUGGCGGCGUGCUUAACACAUGCAAGUCGAACGGAAAGGCCCUGCUUUUGUGGGGUGCUCGAGUGGCGAACGGGUGAGUAACACGUGAGUAACCUGCCCUUGACUUUGGGAUAACUUCAGGAAACUGGGGCUAAUACCGGAUAGGAGCUCCUGCUGCAUGGUGGGGGUUGGAAAGUUUCGGCGGGUGGGGAUGGACUCGCGGCUUAUCAGCUUGUUGGUGGGGUAGUGGCUUACCAAGGCUUUGACGGGUAGCCGGCCUGAGAGGGUGACCGGCGACAUUGGGACUGAGAUACGGCCCAGACGCCUACGGGAGGCAGCAGGGGGGAAUAUUGCACAAUGGGCGGAAGCCGGAUGCAGCAACGCCGCGUGCGGGAUGACGGCCUUCGGGUUGUAAACCGCUUUCGCCUGUGACGAAGCGUGAGUGACGGUAAUGGGUAAAGAAGCACCGGCUAACUACGUG